RNAcentral lists this ribosomal RNA (252 nucleotides) under uncultured prokaryote. RNAcentral's name for it is "partial 16S rRNA". It matches the Rfam family "Bacterial small subunit ribosomal RNA", at positions 525 to 775 of the family's 1533-position model. The record is from RNAcentral.
ACGGACCGUCCAAACGUUAUUCGGAAUCACUGGGCUUAAAGGGUGCGUAGGCGGCCCGGCAAGUUGGGUGUGAAAGCCCUCGGCUCAACCGAGGAAUUGCGCCCAAAACUACCGGGCUAGAGGAAGACAUAGGUGAGCGGAACUUAGGGUGGAGCGGUGAAAUGCGUUGAGAUCCUAAGGAACACCAGUAGCGAAAGCGGCUCACUGGGUCUUUUCUGACGCUGAGUGCACGAAAGCUAGGGGAGCGAAGAG